Molecule: ribosomal RNA, 497 nt
Filed under: uncultured bacterium
Lineage: Bacteria
Description: partial 16S ribosomal RNA
Rfam family: Bacterial small subunit ribosomal RNA
Source: RNAcentral
GAUGAACGCUGGCGGCGUGCCUAAUACAUGCAAGUCGAGCGAACAGACGAGGAGCUUGCUCCUCUGACGUUAGCGGCGGACGGGUGAGUAACACGUGGAUAACCUACCUAUAAGACUGGGAUAACUUCGGGAAACCGGAGCUAAUACCGGAUAAUAUAUUGAACCGCAUGGUUCAAUAGUGAAAGACGGUUUUGCUGUCACUUAUAGAUGGAUCCGCGCCGCAUUAGCUAGUUGGUAAGGUAACGGCUUACCAAGGCGACGAUGCGUAGCCGACCUGAGAGGGUGAUCGGCCACACUGGAACUGAGACACGGUCCAGACUCCUACGGGAGGCAGCAGUAGGGAAUCUUCCGCAAUGGGCGAAAGCCUGACGGAGCAACGCCGCGUGAGUGAUGAAGGUCUUCGGAUCGUAAAACUCUGUUAUUAGGGAAGAACAAAUGUGUAAGUAACUAUGCACGUCUUGACGGUACCUAAUCAGAUAGCCACGGCUAACUACGUG